Molecule: ribosomal RNA, 21 nt
Filed under: Zingiber officinale
Lineage: Eukaryota; Viridiplantae; Streptophyta; Magnoliopsida; Zingiberales; Zingiberaceae
Description: partial 18S ribosomal RNA
Source: RNAcentral
GGGUACUGCGGCAGAUCAUUG